Molecule: ribosomal RNA, 406 nt
Filed under: uncultured bacterium
Lineage: Bacteria
Description: partial 16S ribosomal RNA
Rfam family: Bacterial small subunit ribosomal RNA
Source: RNAcentral
AUUGAACGCUGGCGGCAGGCCUAACACAUGCAAGUCGAACGAGUGGCGGACGGGUGAGUAAUGUCUGGGAAACUGCCUGAUGGAGGGGGAUAACUACUGGAAACGGUAGCUAAUAACGAAUACCAUCGGAUGUGCCCCGAUGGGAUUAGCUAGUAGGUGGGGUAACGGAGCACCAAGGAGACGAUCCCUAGCUGGUCUGAGAGGAUGACCAGCCACACUGGAACUGAGACACGGGCCAGACGCCUAUGGGAGGCAGCAGUGGGGAAUAUUGCACAAUGGGCGCAAGCCUGAUGCAGCCAUGCCGCGUGUAUGAAGAAGGCCUUCGGGUUGUAAAGUACUUUCAGCGAGGAGGCGUUACUCGCAGAAGAAGCACCGGCUAACUCCGUGCCAGCAGCCGCGGUAAUUC